Non-coding RNA from Pocillopora verrucosa, 2006 nucleotides. The record is from RefSeq and is a predicted model, not a curated record. NCBI's taxonomy places the organism in Eukaryota, Metazoa, Cnidaria, Anthozoa, Scleractinia, Pocilloporidae.
GAAUGGUGUAAUGGCGGACGAAGAGCGAAGAGAAGCUUUCGCCGCGCAAAAUCAGCACAGACACAGUGUAUAAGACGCUCAAAACGCAUACAAAAUAUGCUCACAUCGUUUGCGGUAGACCCACACUAAAAUAUGUCGAGCGUUUUCGGAACGGGUUGGUCUGUGAACCUUAUGAGAUAUCUCUUUAUGAGCGAACAUUUAUGAGUGAACCUUUCAUCGAGAAACAUGCUAUAUCAACUGAGCUAUCUAAUGUUAAUCGAGAGAAGCAUAGACGCAAAUCUCAUCGUGUAUGUAGACGUGAUCGUGAACCAAGCAGAAUACCAAUACGAAGUUUGAAAAGGUUAAGGAACAAGAGCAGAAAGAGACAGUCAGAAGAGAGACUUAAGGCGAGAUGUCUCAUGAAUCCAGUAAAGUUGAUAUGAGCCAGGUGUGAGACAAGCAUAUUGGCUGAAAAGGAACAAUUCCAGAACAGAGCAGAGAACAUAUGUGGAAAAGUGUGGUGUAGUUUGUGGACUCAAAAUGGCUUUGUAUCCAGUAACAAAGAGCAAACAACCUACCAAGACACAUGAACCUUGUAACAGCCUUUGUCAAGAGAGAGUCUCUGUGGCUCAGUGUGCGAUUGUGGGGUUGAUUCAGAAAGUCUGAGAUUUGAUUUCCCAUCAGGAUUGUUAUGUCCCCUACUUGUAAUGCGACAAAAAACAUCCUUCUUGAUCAUAUUAAACCAAACUUGCUCUGUAUUCAUUUUAUGCCCUUGCAAGCUACUGAAACAAGAUUUCAACUUAGUGGUGAUAUAAAUAAUCCUCUAUUUUGCUUAGAUCUUUAAAUUUUCACCUGCUCCUAGAGUUCACACUCCUAAGAUAUAGAACUCAUCCAAAAACUUAACUUACUCAAUUAUGGCUUAUUUGGGGGAAAAGGCACAGUAUUAGCAUCAGCCAAGCAAUCUAUUUUCUGAUAUGUUAGUUAACCCUUCAACUCCCAAGAUCUAAUUGCUAAUUCUCCCCUCAAGCUGCUACACAUUUCUUUGUAAGUUAGUAAUGAGAAUUUGACGUUAGAUCAAGACAGCAACUUCUACCUGAGUGUUCUUAUUACCUUUUUGCCAAGUAACAUAUGGAUAUUAUAGGGAGAAGUCACAUGUUAGUUACUUCUGGGAGUUAAGGUUACUUCCCACCUUCAGAGACAAUGGGUUACUUUUCACAGGAAAUCUUGAUCCAUCAUCAUUGACACCAGGAGGUCCCUUUGUCCUAUUGGUGUGCAGUUUCAGGAAGUGAGAUAAUCUCCUGGCAUGGCACAAGUUGUUUGUGAACCUUUAGGAGCUAAAAUCUCAUGUUUGAUAUAGGGAGGAAUACAACAACUUUGAGCAAAUUUAUAGGAUGUAUAGAUUUGAUUGAUUUUCAUCAAAUUUCCCCAAAGCAUCCUAGGAAUAAUGACGAAGGAAAGUGUGUUGAGAAAUUUUGAUAUUUGAAAUAUUUGUCUUGUGGAGUCCAUUUACGCAACACAUCUCAAAUAUUUUUAGCUAGUCUAACUUUAUAUGCCGAUAUCAACUCAACCAAUCAGAAUAUCAAAAAAGCCAGACACACUCUUGUUGAUUGAUGCCUUGUGAAUGAGACUGCAGCCAUUUUGCUCAUGCAGCAGCAUCCAAUGCCCGAUAAAUUCAAUAGAAGAACCUUUGGUUGCUUUAUGCCUUACUGGCUUCUGACACUUCCUUAAAGAAAAGUUGCUUAAGUUAUAUUACAAAUUUUUUUCCCAAAAGACACCAGCGAAGCUGGGAAGUAACCUAAACUCUUUAACUCCCAGAUCAAAUUUCUAAUUCUCCUUAAUGUCAACCAUACAAUUCCUAUAAUGUUAGUUCAGACAAUUUAGUAUUGGAUCAACUAAUUAUUUCCAAAUUGAUAUUUUUCUUUAAUCUCCUCACUUAUCUGGUUGAUAUUGUGUUGAUAUUAUAAGGAGAAAUUCUGUCUUGGUCACUCAUGGGAGUUAAAGGGUUAAAGGAUUUAGAAUUAUCUUGA